Molecule: ribosomal RNA, 548 nt
Filed under: uncultured bacterium
Lineage: Bacteria
Description: bacterial SSU rRNA
Rfam family: Bacterial small subunit ribosomal RNA
Source: RNAcentral
ACGGAAUAGAUACCCCGGUAGUCCACGCCGUAAACGAUGGAUACUUGUUGUUAGUGGUAUUGACCCCACUAGUGACGUAGCUAAACGCGUUAAAGUAUCCCGCCUGGGGAGUACGGUCGCAAGAUUAAAACUCAAAGAAAUUGACGGGGGCCCGCACAAGCGGUGGAGCAUGUGGUUUAAUUCGAUGCAACGCGAAGAACCUUACCUGGGCUUGACAUGAACUGGAAGAGUGGCGGAGACGUCCUCGCCCGCAAGGGUCGGUUCACAGGUGCUGCAUGGCUGUCGUCAGCUCGUGUCGUGAGAUGUUGGGUUAAGUCCCGCAACGAGCGCAACCCUUACCUUUAGUUGCCAGCAUUUAGUUGGGCACUCUAAAGGGACUGUCUGCGUUAAGCAGGAGGAAGGUGGGGAUGACGUCAAGUCCUCAUGGCCCUUAUGUCCAGGGCUACACACGUGCUACAAUGGUGGUCACAGAGGGAAGCCAAACCGCGAGGUGGAGCUAAUCCCUUAAAAGCCAUCUAAGUUCAGAUUGGUCUCUGCAACUCGAAACC